This 83-nucleotide non-coding RNA is filed under the name bovine gut metagenome. Its description in RNAcentral is "S10-Clostridia ribosomal protein leader". It matches the Rfam family "S10-Clostridia ribosomal protein leader", at positions 1 to 71 of the family's 81-position model. The record is from RNAcentral.
UGAUAGCGUUGAAGCGUGAGGUUGCCGUGAGCCAAAAUAAAGGGCUGGCGGGUUUUCCGUGGAGCGAAUGUCAAGGCCGGAAG